This is a non-coding RNA of Erythranthe guttata (spotted monkey flower), 329 nucleotides long. The record is from RefSeq and is a predicted model, not a curated record. Lineage: Eukaryota; Viridiplantae; Streptophyta; Magnoliopsida; Lamiales; Phrymaceae.
AUUUACCCUUUUAUCAAUAAUAUAUAAUUUAAUUUUUCCAUCUAAAACCCUAAAAAUUAAUCGUCUCUUUUGGUGUUCUCUCUUCUUUGCACAGAUCUCGCCUCGCCUCUCCACCUUCGUGCCGCCGUCGUCACCAAUGUCGUCCCACUUCGUCACAGGUACCAUGGUACUUGCAGGGAUUUUUUGUUCUUCAAUUUUUGGAAGCAUUCCUGCAUUCCUCGUCGGAAGACCGCUGUAAUGGAAUAGAUUGACCUCGAGGAGGAGGUAUUGUUUGGGAGGCUCGUUUGUUGAAAUUGUGUUCGUGUUACUAAAAAAGAUAUAGUUGUUUU